GAGGUGUGGGUAGCGGAGAAAUUCCAAACGAACUUGGAGAUAGCUGGUUCUCUCCGAAAUAGCUUUAGGGGUAGCCUCGGAAGUGAGAAUGAUGGAGGUAGAGCACUGUUUGGACUAGGGGCCGAUCUCGGGUUACCGAAUUCAGAUAAACUCCGAAUGCGAUUCUUUUAUAUCCGGGAGGCAGAGUGCGAGUGAUAAGAUCCGUAGUCGAAAGGGAAACAGCCCAGACC
RNAcentral lists this ribosomal RNA (230 nucleotides) under Enterococcus faecalis. RNAcentral's name for it is "partial 23S ribosomal RNA". It matches the Rfam family "Bacterial large subunit ribosomal RNA", at positions 806 to 1033 of the family's 2925-position model. Lineage: Bacteria; Bacillati; Bacillota; Bacilli; Lactobacillales; Enterococcaceae. The record is from RNAcentral.